This 1346-nucleotide long non-coding RNA is filed under the name Oncorhynchus mykiss (rainbow trout). Its description in RNAcentral is "lncRNA (ENSOMYG00000052406.1)". Lineage: Eukaryota; Metazoa; Chordata; Actinopteri; Salmoniformes; Salmonidae. The record is from RNAcentral.
AUGGCUAAAGUUAACGCCAGGGUCUACAUAAUAUCCCUGUCUGCAGUGUAUCUUAUUGUUGUAUUGUGGAGUCUGCAUGGCCACUCCAUUGCUGUGGACCAGGAAAUCAACAGGAUUUUCUCUCCGUGUGACUAUUCCUGUCCAGUGUGAUGAAAAUCAGUAUCCUUAACAUUCACACCUGAUCGCAAUGUUUACAGAAAACACACCUGUAUCAUGAUAACACACAAUCCAUAACAAAGUAUCCUUAACUAUUAAAACUGAUAUAACGUAAGAGGAUGAAAAGAGCAUAUGGAUUGUUUUGCAAGCAAACAAAGUUUCCCGUUUGGAAAAUAAUCUUCAAAGACGAGCUUCUGUGUCGAAGUACACUCCCUUAGCCUCCCUAUUGAGGUGCCCUACCCCCACCAUGCAAACAGACCCCCCCCCCCCCCCCCCCCCCGUUUACUCUGGUUGGCUAGGAACCAGACUUAGCUGAAUAAAAAUCUCCCUGCUUUCCAUCCAGAUAGAGACCAUUGAGUCAGAGACCUCACACAAAGACUAAUAGCAAUGGGAAUCCGCUGAAAAUAUGUGAUAUAAUCACAUUAGUGUCUUAAAGGACACAAAGCGCUUAGUCAACUUCCCUUGAUCAAGUCACAUCUGGAGGAGUGAGGGACUUGAAACAUAGUCCUGGCUUUCCCCUACUGAAAUUAAAGCAAGCUGUUGUGCCUUGCUUCCAGGCCGGAGGAGAACGAGAACUUUGACACAAUAAUGGAUUGCUCCGGCAGCAGUGCAGUUAAAUGUGGGGCUUGUGAAAAAAGGAUGGAUCUUAAAAGUUUUGGGAAUAACGCCCACAGCUUUCCCAGCGAGGUUGAACUCUGACCUGGAAGAUCAAGUGUUUAAAUCUAGAUCUUUGUGAUUACCUCUAGAUAACACUCUACAACACACUGCACUACAUUUGUCAAUAUGUAGUACACUUUGUGAUUCCAGGUAAAAUAAACAUGUCACAAUGUUUCGUAUUUUCUAAACUAUCUCUUGUCUUGAUAACAUUUGAAAAAAUGCAACACGUAGGGGAAAACAUGUGACACAUGUUUUGUGAUGUUUACCUACAAUGGUUGUGUUUUUUAGGGAUCAACAUGACUGUAAUAGCAUAAUCCUGACACCUGACAUUCAUAAAACCCAAAUUCUAAAUUAACAAAAAAUUAUGAGAAACUACAUUACUACACUGAGUAUGAUAUAUUUCAUGGAAAGAAGGUCUGUAUAAUUUCCAAAAUAUACCUGAAAUUACAAAUACCAGGUUCCUAAAGGGUUUCCAACUCCACACUUUACAGAGGUGACAGUCAUUAAAACUGCGUUCUGUUUCACUCCAAUUG